Molecule: unclassified non-coding RNA, 1970 nt
Filed under: Leishmania donovani
Lineage: Eukaryota; Euglenozoa; Kinetoplastea; Trypanosomatida; Trypanosomatidae
Description: gene:LdHU3.36.0850(CDS-product:Protein_of_unknown _function_(DUF3592)_putative)
Source: RNAcentral
UGCGCAUUAUAACGUCGUCUCUUGCACCCACACACGUUCCUCUUUCCCGCCCUACCCCCGCUCUUGCACAUAGCGAGGCCUGCAGAGGAGGAGCACUGCACUCAGUGACAGUGCGGACGGUCUGAGAGGCCAUUCAUAAAGAAAGCGCCGCAAAAGCGGCGAAGUCCGCUCCGUGUGGCUUGUUCAGCCCUUUCAUGGAGGCACGCACGAAGCCAUUCUGCUAAUUGUUGCGCGCUCUUCUCCUGUGCCCUGUCUUGUCGUUCGUGGGUUUUUUCAUCGUCAUUCUUCAAGUCGCUCUUGCUGUAACCGUUGGCUGUGUGUGCGUGUGUGUGAGGAGGGUUGCACUAGUGCGCCUCAGUGAAGGUGUAUGUGCGCGUCUCCGCAAGACCAGUCUUGCUCGUAAAACCAGCGCUGGAUAUCCCCGGGGAUCUUUGUGUCCCUAUCUAUACCUGCAGACUGCACGCCGCAACCGCACACGAAAAGAAACCAACCGCACCAGGUGGGAGACGCGCUUGGACGUUGUUGUUGCUCCGCCUUCUCUUUCUCGUCUAUUAUUGUCCUUAUCGCUUCUUUCGCGUUCUCACAUCGGGCCUCAGCCGACCACAACACUCCCCUCUCUUUUCCGCGCGUUUGCAUUGCCGCACUGGCUACUGAAGCACCAUCCUUUUUGCUCUUGCUGUUUUGGGUGUGCGUGCAUGUGCGCUUCUCGCGCUCUGCCACUUUUUUCUUUCCCCUCCCCCCCCCGCUCGUACGCGUGUGCGGAGGUGACAGUCGGGCGGUCUCGCCUUCUCCGCCCUUUUUUCCGCCUGCGCUGUAUUUGCAGUGACACUCGCGUGGCUUGCGCACGACAAAGGCAUCGAGGAAAUGCCGUGGUAUCUCAGCACCUUCCGGGUAGGCUUCUGUGCCAUUUACGCGUACUUUGGGUAUGUACAGGUUCGCUGGCUGCUGGAGACCGAGGACCGCUAUCGUCGCUCGAGCACAUGGAAGCCCGCCGUCGGGACGAUCUUCGACCACAAGGUGGUUAUGACCCGCGGCGGCUCGAGCUACGUGCAGUAUAAGUUCAAUGUCGAUGGCGUCGAAUACAUAGGCGACCGCUUCCGCAGCGGCGGCAUCCACAAGGAGGAGAUGGUCUCGAACCCGACCCUGCUUGGCGCCGGCACGCAGCUGGUCGUCUAUUACAACCCCGCUGACCCCUCCGAGAGUGCCAUCAAGCUGCAAGCAGACCGCGGCGCGGAGUCGGUGUUCGUCAUUGGCUCACUCCUUUCGUUCCUCAUCGCCUUUCGAGCGGUGCGCUGCGAGACCAUCUUGCCAAACAUGUUCUACCGCUUCCUCGGAGUGAACCGGCGCGUUGGCGGGAUUUCAGGGCUUCGACAGGCUCGCCCGCACGCGAAGCAGCGCAUGAAGUACGGCAAACACUCCGGGAGCCUGUAGUGGUGAGCAAAGGCGGACGGCGCCUGCAGUGCUGCAGUUGAAACUUGAUGAUCACAUUCUUCACCGAAAUGACCGCCACAACGCCCGCGUCGAAGCUGACGCACCGUUACACAUGCUGAUGAAGCAGCGGUGCCUGUGCGCGCCCGUCUGCGCAGCAGUCCGCUGCUGAGGUGCGUGGCCGUGCAGUUGGGACGUGCGUUGCCAUGCGUUGAGUGCUGCACGUGCCAUUUUCCCCUCUCUCUGCGAGUACCUAGCUGGUGUGCGUGGCGGCGACCUCACGAGCAGAGCGGAUGGACUCGCCACUGCCACCUCUCUACUGGAGGGUUGCGGAGAGGCUGUGCGUACCGUGUGUACCUGCGUGCUUCUUGCCGCGGUCCCUCUCGUUUCUGUGCUUCUUAUUUCCUUGCUCCCAUCCCUCGCUCCACAUUCUGUUUUCUCUCUGUCUCCUUGGCAUGUAACGCACUUUGGCCGUGCAACGAACGACUACACACGACGAUGCACGACCGCGCUGUAACUCACCGACAUCGCCUGUACCCAAG